This 500-nucleotide ribosomal RNA is filed under the name uncultured bacterium. Its description in RNAcentral is "partial 16S ribosomal RNA". It matches the Rfam family "Bacterial small subunit ribosomal RNA", at positions 30 to 523 of the family's 1533-position model. The record is from RNAcentral.
AUUGAACGCUGGCGGCAUGCCUUACACAUGCAAGUCGAACGGCAGCACGGAGCUUGCUCUGGUGGCGAGUGGCGAACGGGUGAGUAAUAUAUCGGAACGUACCCAAGAGUGGGGGAUAACGUAGCGAAAGUUACGCUAAUACCGCAUACGAUCUAAGGAUGAAAGCAGGGGAUCGCAAGACCUUGUGCUCCUGGAGCGGCCGAUAUCUGAUUAGCUAGUUGGUGAGGUAAAGGCUCACCAAGGCGUCGAUCAGUAGCUGGUCUGAGAGGACGACCAGCCACACUGGAACUGAGACACGGUCCAGGCUCCUACGGGAGGCAGCAGUGGGGAAUUUUGGACAAUGGGGGCAACCCUGAUCCAGCGAUGCCGCGUGAGUGAAGAAGGCCUUCGGGUUGUAAAGCUCUUUUGUCAGGGAAGAAACGGUGAAGGCUAAUAUCCUUUGCUAAUGACGGUACCUGAAGAAUAAGCACCGGCUAACUACGUGCCAGCCGCCGCCGUAA